Homo sapiens (human) is the source of this 785-nucleotide long non-coding RNA. RefSeq lists it as uncharacterized. The transcript is spliced from 3 exons. The record is from RefSeq and is a predicted model, not a curated record. NCBI's taxonomy places the organism in Eukaryota, Metazoa, Chordata, Mammalia, Primates, Hominidae.
CUUGGCCUCCCAAAGUGCUGGGAUUACAGGCGUGAGCCACCGCGCCUGGCCUUCUGCUUUCUUUAUCAUAUUGUAGUUCAGUUCCUGUAGUUUCAGGUUACUUAUUGUUAGGGAUGGGUGCUGACAUUUCGGGUCCCCUGGCUGGCAGCCAAGAUUCAAGAGCACUGUUUUCUUGCUGUCAAAUCACAUUGCACCAACAUCAAGUUGGAUAUAAAAGUCCCCACAAGUAUCAAUAAAAGACUGAUGGUGCCUUUUAUUAUUCUUUGGGCUGAAGUGAGAAACUGGAAGGCUAAAAGACAUGCGGAUAAAUGUGACAGGCCGAGUAUGCUCUGUAGUGUCAGCUCCUUCCCAAAACCCCGCUAACACUAUGGCAAAGAAAAGGUAUAAACUUACAAGAACGAAGAAAAAUGGAGAGAAAAAGAUAUCAGAGAAGAAAGAUCAGCAGAACUUGGGAACGUGAAAAGUGGAAGGCUGAGUGCUGUCUUGGCAGAAGGGAAAGCUGAGAGGCAGCAGGCCAGCUCACAUCCAAGAACCUCGGAAGAGCUCAGGAAUUGAAGAGUUGUUAGGCUAAAAUGAGACCAUAGCUGUGAAUAUCCUUUGGCAGGAAAUGCAGUAGAGAAUGCAAGAGGCAACAAUGAUGGCUGGAAGAGAAGGGCCCCAAGAUAAUAAAGCCACACAUGGACCGGGCAGAGAUCCCUGAGUGGCCACUGGAAGGUGAGCUGCCUGAGAAGAGUCACCAUAUCUUCUUUGACUGGAGAAAUAAACUUUGUGUUAAGUCACUGAAA